AUUGAACGCUGGCGGCAUGCCUAACACAUGCAAGUCGAACGGCAGCACGGGUGCUUGUUCCUGGUGGCGAGUGGCGGACGGACGAGUAAUACAUCGGCACAAGUCCUGUAGUGGGGGGUAGCCCGCCGCAAGCCGGAUUAACACCUCAUACGAAAUACGGAUGAAAGAGGGGGACCCUCGGGCCUGGCGCUAUCGGGUUGGUUGAUGGCGGAUUAGCUAGUUGGUGGGGUAAAGGCCUACCAAGGCGACGAUCGGUAGCUGGUCUGAGAGGACGACCAGCCACACUGGGACUGAGACACGGCCCAGACUCCUACGGGAGGCAGCAGUGGGGAAUUUUGGACAAUGGGCGAAAGCCUGAUGCAGCAAUGCCGCGUGUGUGAAGAAGGCCUUCGGGUUUUAAAGUACUUUUGUCGGGAAAGAAAGCCUUGGCGCUAAUACCGUCGGGAAAUGACGGUACCGGAAGAAUAAGCACCGGCUAACUACGUG
Molecule: ribosomal RNA, 486 nt
Filed under: uncultured bacterium
Lineage: Bacteria
Description: partial 16S ribosomal RNA
Rfam family: Bacterial small subunit ribosomal RNA
Source: RNAcentral